UACUUCACUCCUUCACUACUUCACUCCUUAUAGCUCUCAUCUCAUUAGUUAUUAUAUGAAGAAUGCUCUACCUCUAAACCCUAGCUUCUGCAAGAAAUCCCUUCUAAUUGUAAGUUCAAUUUCUCACAAUACUUCAUCUUUUGUAUAAUUAUACAUAGUAAAUUCAUGUGGAAUCGUGCUAGAAGUUGCAAUUAUGAUGUAUACGAAAAAAAAUUGUACUUUUUUUGGUGGUUUUGAUUUCCAGUUUCCCCAUUGAGUGGAGUUCUGGAAAUUAAAUUGUGGUGUAAUUUCAGCUUCGAACAGUCAAUUAGUGAUAAACUCAAAAGGUUAUCUCGUAGAUUUUUAAAUAGGCUAUGCCUAUAUUCAAAACCAUCUCAAUUUUCGAUUAGGAUACAUAUAUUAUGUAUGUGCAGCCACAGUACUAGUAUAUUUACAUAAUUCCAUUGUUAUUUUAUUUUUUAAUAUCAUUUGUUGUUGUUGUUGUUGUUGUUGUUGUUGUUGUUGUUAUUUCUAUGGUCUAUUUUUAAUUGGGCCGAUGGUUCGGUUUUUGCAUAAGAUUAUUUGUUCAUAAAAUGCAUAAAUAAAGAAUCUUGAAUCAGAGUGGUGCAAUUUUUUAAUUUAUUAUGCUAGUAUUGUCAUGGUGGAGUUGCGAUUUUUCUGGUUAUACGAGUUUCUAGUUUCUACUAUAUAUGAAAUUGCUGACAAGUAUAUGAAAUCAUGUGUUGUCAUUAUUGCAUAGAGAAAAUCAUACACAUUCCCUUAUAUUAUUUGGAAAAUCUUGUUCACUAGUACUAAAUUAACCAACCGUAAUUGCUUGAGUUUGCAUCAUAGACAUAUCCGUCUUGUCCGACCUUUCUUAUUAUAGUUUAUACAACUUUUAAGUUAUAUAUAAUUAGUCAUGACUUUCUCUUUCUCUCCCCCUCUCUUUCACAGACAUACACAGAGAACGUACACAGGCACACACAUAACUUGCAUCAGAUCAGUUCCUCGUACUCUCUUUCUCAAACACACAGACACACACCUGACACAACGGUACACAAUUUAAUAAAAUCCCCUCCAUAUACACCAUUAUGGGAAUUUGCCUGGGAAUUUCUCAUAUGCAUCAAUAUGGUGCGUAUGGAAAGUUCUUGUAGGCACCAUUAUGAUGAUUACAUAAUUUGUUAAAAUUCUCCCUACGCACUAUAAUGAUGCGUACGGUGGGGAUUUUUAUAAAAUUCUCCCUAUGCACCAUUAUAUUGAAUGUUACAAGAUGUCUUGUCUAUUACAAACUCCAUAGCCACUUUUGGCUAUGGAUCAAUCUUCACAAUUAUAACGUACAUAUGUGUAUAUAUUAUAAAAACUCACUCUUGACAUUUCUUUCGAUUUUUUUCCACAUGUAUUAAGGGAACCCCUCGCAUGUAACCUGUAAUGUGCAAUAAUGUCAGUGAGGCUCCAUUUGAGGGUAGCCUGGUAGGGAUCUAGGUAUUUACAUGAGUAGGAGCUUCAGUCAAAGGCAAAAUUUGUCUAAACAUUGAUAUUUCGAAUUAAUUAGUUUGUAUUAUGUUUUUGUCUUGAAUAGCUAAUGGUGAAUCCAGUAGCAGUACAGAAGGAUUGCUGUUAGUUUUUCUUCAAUUUCUUUUAUGUGUGCGUGCGCGUUUGUUUUUGUUUUUGUUUUAUUUUUCUUUUAAUAUAGAGGAGAGUAAUUAUACAGAAGCAGUGGCGAUGUUAUAUCAUUCUCACUGUUAUUUUUCACUCAUGCAAUCAUGCUAUUAUCAUGUCCAUUUUCAGGUUCAAAUUUCAAUGUUGUUAGUAAGGAAUUUACUCAUGUGGUAAUCAUACUAUUUCGGUCAUGUGAGCUUUCUUCUCUCAUUGACCUAGAAAACCGCGUAUUGGUAUUUGCAUACCAAAACAUGGUACUCUUUCGUACCAAUAUUCUAAAUUUAGCGUACCGAAAAAUUUCUUUGUUGUUUUACCUAAAAUUAUACAAAUAUCCAUAUUAUAACUUAGCAUUGGAUGGUCAAACAUUGCAUUUAGAUGAAAUUAUUUAUAAACCAAUUAACUUGUUGAUUCAACUAAAUAUUUUCUACAAAACAUAGGCUUAUUACAUUUAGAUUUUAAGAGAAUUUCUAAUUAUAAUAACUUACAUAAAGAUGCCCUAGCGUACCGCGUACCCACAUUCGUAUCACGUAACAAAAUGAAUGUUUCGGGUAACACUGCAUGUAACCUAAAAUUAACCAUUUCCUUUCUUAUGAUUGUUAUUUGGUGGUAUAUUUACGUCUGAUGCCUUCAAGAUCUUCAUGGGCAGUUCAGAUUACAAGGAUUUAAGGAGCCCAACCUUUUAAAUUAGCCCCAUUAUUCAGGAGUCUUAUUAAAUGACUAACUAGUUUAAAAUGUUUGAGCUUCUAAACUCUUUCUCAACUUAGGCAAGUCUGUACAUAUAGACAGGUGCAUAACUUCUGAUUUUACUUCUAUAUUAUCUGCAUGCAUAUUUAAGAUGACUAAGGAUGUCACAUUACUAAAAAUUGAACUCUAGAUGGAUUAGUUAUUGGGGUUCAGAUAUAUUUUUUUUCUUUUCAAAAAUCAUCAGAUAGAUUAACAUUCCCGUGCAAGUUUCAAACUCUAUCUUGACAUUUGCCCCUUUCCUAGUUAUAGUCUACUCAAUCUGAAGUUACUCGAAAUACUAAAAGUCUAAUAUUUGAAAAACGACAAGUAGUUUUACUCAAGAAAAUUUGAAAAUGUUGACGUGUUUUGGAGCUAAAAUCUGAUAGAAGUUUUUGAUAUCUUAUCGAUUUCACUCUUCUUUCAAUCUAAACAGUAGUUGUUCGGAGUCUUCUGACUAACUUUCCUGGCUCCUUUCUUUCUUUCUGGAUUUUGAAUAACAGAUGUGGAGGUUUAAAUUUCAGCGUGUCAUGCAGAAAGUCCUUUCCAUUAAUUUAUAUGUGGAUCCAGAAGGUCAUUUAAUAUUGAACUUCAUGGUAUGUUUUCUGUUCCUUUAAGUUGGGGUAUUUGCAAAUGAUUCAAACAUUUUAUUCGUAUGUGAAUCUACUGCAGGGAAGUGUAGAGCAAAAGCAUACUUGCUUUGAGAUGGUCCGCAUUUUAGGGACAAACAAGCAGGUAAUACAUCAUUCAUACAUUUCUUAUUAACUCUGUAGCUCGAUUUUAGCUUAUUUUCUCUUCCACUGAGAGUCUGAGAUAAGCAGUAUAAUUUAAAAUCUCUAUUUCUCUGAACAGAGUCAUACUUGGAAAGUAUUCUGGCUUGUUUCACUGUUUUGAUCUAUAGUAUUGACAUCUAGUGAUCUACACAUGACAUGAAAAAUGUCCAGGUCCGUGUACAAUCAUGAGAUCUAGUCAAUUAGUAUUUCCCCUUAAUUAAGUCAAUGGCAUGUAUAUAUUUUGUGUUUCCGUGUGGACAAAGUAGUUGAUAGGAGAUCUUAUAGGAAAAGCAACACAGUUUGAAUAAGUGUUCCCUGGAUUCCCAAUUAUUUUCAGUUUGUGGAACAAAUGCGAGAACUCGCAUAAGCUACACAGGAUAGGACGUGGUAUGCUAAAGAUAGCUUUAUAUGGAUGCUUAUAAUAAGAAAAUCACUUAAAAUCUAGAUGCAAUAAAGCUAAAUUUCAGAUAAGGUUUUUAGUUACAUCAACAAGUUUAUUGUUUUAGAAAUAAUUUAGUAAAAAUACGAUGUUGGAGCAUCCAAUACUUUUUGCAAUUAGAUAUGAAAACAAAGAAAUUGAUGGGUUGCAUCGAACUAAAUAUUGAUAUUUGUGCAAUUAGAUGUAGAAAACAAAGAAAUAUACCUAAAUUUAGAGUUCUGGAACAUAAAGAUGUUAGAGAAUAACAACGCAGCGGAAACAAUAGUAAAGAGAAAAUCGAAAGAAAAUAAUCACACAAGAAACAAAAUUUACGUGGUUCACUCCACGGUCGGCGGUUGAUCAGUUCACUAUCUUGUGGAAAUUUCGUACAUCUUACGAUUGUUAGAUCCUCUCCAUAUAUAAAUAUAAGAAACCCGAAUUCAACCUGGAAGUACAAAACUACUUUGGGAGUUUGGAUAAGUAGAUCUUCAAAAUGAGGAUAUAGGAAAUGGAAUACCACACAUGAAGAAAUCUCUACCUUCUCUAUUAAACCUACUCAGCAAAAUCAUUAUAUCAUCCCAAUUCCAUCAGUCUUCUCGGUGGAUCCACUGAGUGACGACGCUGAUCUGUUUGCUUAUGCAUGGAACAUAUAAGGAUGACUACCUCACCUUGUCCUUUGCUAAAAUUGGUCUUCUAGUAUAGCUAUCUGAAGUAGGAAAAAAAUUGUUAUAAUUAAUAAGGCUUAAUUUAAAUACAUAUCAAUCUUUUUAAAUUUCUUUGUCAGUCAGUGUCUUUCGAAAGCAACUUUCGAAAGCUACAUUGGACCAUCCAGAGUAAGAAAAUAUAUACAUAUGUAUGCCUUAGUACUGUUUCUAAAAUCCUUUGACUUUUCUUUUCUUUUUCUUUUUGUUAAACAUCAAGAGAAUAUGAAUAUGCCCCAGUAUUACUAAAAUAAGAUGGAGUACUCAAUUCAUUAAAUUGUCAUAGUAUUUAUUUUACUGAUUAAUUAAUUUACUCUUUGAUUUCUUUGUAACAACUCUAGUUGUUUUAUUUGUACUUCAGUUUGCUGUGUUCUUUGCCACGAAUAACUUCCUUUUCACCAAGUUCAACUUUUUAUUUCUUAUACUAUUCCUGUCGAUACUUGUGUAUAAUUAGAAAAUUCUAUAAUCCAUCAUUCAGAAAGCACUAGGAUGUAGCUCUUUGACAACCGAGUUAUCCUGAUCGAUUGUAGGCCUAGUCGGAAAGGAAAAACUAUGGCACUAUAGCUACACUCUUCUCGUAUACUUUCAAGUUUUACACAUUAGAUAUCCUUUUUUAAUUCAUACUAAUCAAAUAAAUAAAAAAAGAAAAUAAAAGAUGUUUGCUUGAUUCAUUCUAGUAGAAUAACAAAUCUUCAAAAAUUGUAGAAGUUAUCAAUAUUUCACUUGUGUGUAAUAUAUAUCUCUGGGAGCAAAUUAAACAAAUACAUGGAAAGAACAUUAAUAUCACACAUUCACACCUUUAAACUGCAAAAUUUUGUAUAUUUGAAGACAUAUCAUAUUUUUGAAGAAGCUAAUCAAUUGUGAAGUGGGUCUGGUCCACCUGGAACAGUCCGGUCUGACAUACCAUAAAUUGGUUCGACGCCAUCAUUUUUGGCUUCAAUGGGAACUGCUGCAGGAAAAUGCAUUGAGAACGGGGAACGGAAUUCUGGUUCUGGUUUAAAUUCCAUCUCUGUUCCUUCAAUUGUAACUCUCUUCAUAUCGCGGCAAUUUGAGAGCUGAGUGAAGGUGAGCAUGACCAUGAUGAACAGAAAUGGGACCCCGGGAUUUUGAGUACCCAUGAUUCUUAUGAUGAGAAAUAGCUGAAGAACUAGUGCCCAAUAGAUGAAGCAGGUAAAAUGGAGCUUGUUCUCUAAUGCAGGCUGUGAAGUCUUUUAUAUGCCUUUGGGUAACCUGUGGACUAUAUAAAAGCCAAGUAUAGAAAAACUUGGUCAUUAUGAAAUGACAAAAUUGCACUUUAAUUUCUCGAAAUAUUACCCUUUUAUGAUGGAAUUGUUGUUGUGCCUAAAAUGGCAAAUUCUUGUUUUCCUUGAAGCUUUAUCUGCUGAACGCUAAUUUUUGCAAUUAUAUUGAUGAUUGAUCAUCUGGGAUGCAGGUCAUGAUCAAGAUUCAUCCUAAUUCCUAACAAUCCAUAUUCCGGUGAGACUAGAAAUAUUAAAAGAAAAUUUUGAGAAGCUCGUCUUCGUUAUACAUUUGUAAGUUCAUAGCAAUUUGUUUUCAUGGUUAUGACAAUAUUGAUUCAUAUCAUGCAAGACAUUUUAAGGUUUAUAUGGUCAUUUUGUAUGUGUAGUGUGUUCAUGUGAAUAACUGUAUCGCAAAGCGUAUAGAAUCUAGAUCAUUGAUUUGCAUUUUGUUCAUUUGCCCAAUUUGAGUUUAAUUAAUUCACACACUACUCUUAUAUAUUACUAAAAUAUUUUUAUAGAUUUGACAUAAUAAAUUCAGUGACAUGUGCAGCCAAACUUGAUGAUCAAGUGUAGCACAUUAUCCUGCCGACUAGUUUAAUUAUUGUGGUUUAAAGUUUGUAUAUACUGACAUACUAUGCUUCUUAUUACAGAUGCUUAAGGUUGCACCUUGUUACUUCGAUAGUUCGAUUCAAUGUCAACUGUAAAGCUAAAAUUUGUCGAAAUUUUCAGCUGGAAAUUCACAGGUAAACGAAAAAAGUGAUGAAUUUGUUUGGUUAUGUGCCGCUGAACUUUUUGCUUCGGCCACACGGCCAGUGUAGUGUCUUGCUUCGACUUGUUUAUCGAGUUUUUCUUGGAAAUUGCUGCUGGUCUGAAUUAAUUUUGGCUAGAAGUCUACAUGUUGGGGGAAUUAUUUGCUACCUUGUCUGUAGAAUGGUGAUGUUUUCUAGUGUCUAGUGGUAAUAUAAUCUUGGAAGGUUUGAAUAAACAUGCGUGUUUAUUUGAGAGACCAUGAAGUGCCGUGUGCCAUCAUUCUGCUAGAAAUGGUGACAUUUUGGGAGACAUUCUUCAACUUUGUUAUCAUCCUUCAUUUGAAGAAAAUCUGUACCUCACUUCCUUGUAAGAAACUCAACAGCUUUUUUUUUUUUUUGCUCAAUAGGAAUAAGAAAAUAAGCAUUGCAUUCAAAAGGUGGAAUUAUGUGACAUUUUUUUCUUCUCUGUUCCAAAAUUAGAGAUAUAUUUUUCUUUUUUUGGCCGUUCAAAAAUUAAAAAAAAAUAUAUUUAUAUUUU
Molecule: long non-coding RNA, 6778 nt
Filed under: Panax ginseng (ginseng)
Lineage: Eukaryota; Viridiplantae; Streptophyta; Magnoliopsida; Apiales; Araliaceae
Description: long non-coding RNA (PGIN_LNC017021)
Source: RNAcentral